Molecule: long non-coding RNA, 210 nt
Filed under: Homo sapiens (human)
Lineage: Eukaryota; Metazoa; Chordata; Mammalia; Primates; Hominidae
Description: HSALNT0301405
Source: RNAcentral
CAGAAGUUCUGCAAGAUGACCUGGGAAUAAAGUUGGCCAAGAAGCCUCCGAGGGGAGAUCGGCGUGUGAGGUGGAGAGCCCCGCGUCUACAUGAGGUGUGAGAUCCCAACAGGUUGACAAUGGAAGCAGAGCUGAGAAUCCGGUCAUCUUAUAUUAAGCCAGAUGCUAAAAAGCAAUGGACUCAGGCUGGUCUCCAACUCCUGACCUUAG